This is a long non-coding RNA of Hippoglossus stenolepis (Pacific halibut), 244 nucleotides long. RefSeq lists it as uncharacterized. The transcript is spliced from 3 exons. NCBI's taxonomy places the organism in Eukaryota, Metazoa, Chordata, Actinopteri, Pleuronectiformes, Pleuronectidae. The record is from RefSeq and is a predicted model, not a curated record.
GAAACCUACACUCACAAACCACUGCCACUGGAGUGCACCAGGUGCAGGCCAUCAUGGGAGAAACCUCCUCCUCUCCGUGCAUGGCUAUAGCUACCGUCAUCGGGCCAUUUCAUAUCCCAAUGGUGGAUCAGCCACUUCGCCACCUGCGCUUGUCUCAGUGACAAAACCAAGUACCCGUCCUUCCUCAGAACAAUACCCAGUGACUACUACCAGAGCAGAGCCCUGGCCCAGCUGGUCAAGCACU